Molecule: transfer RNA, 85 nt
Organism: Felis catus (domestic cat)
Lineage: Eukaryota; Metazoa; Chordata; Mammalia; Carnivora; Felidae
Rfam family: tRNA
About the family: Transfer RNA (tRNA) molecules are approximately 80 nucleotides in length. Their secondary structure includes four short double-helical elements and three loops (D, anti-codon, and T loops).
Source: Rfam
GCCUGGGUGGCUCAGUCGGUUGAGCGUCUGACUUCGGCUCAGGUCAUGAUCUUGCAGUCUGUGGGUUCGAGCCCCGCGUCAGGCU